Molecule: ribosomal RNA, 254 nt
Filed under: uncultured bacterium
Lineage: Bacteria
Description: partial 16S ribosomal RNA
Rfam family: Bacterial small subunit ribosomal RNA
Source: RNAcentral
CUUUCUUUGCUGGCGACCGGCGCACGGGUGAGUAACACGUAUCCAACCUGCCCUUUACUCGGGGAUAGCCUUUCGAAAGAAAGAUUAAUACCCGAUAGCAUAAUGAUUCCGCAUGGUUUCAUUAUUAAAGGAUUCCGGUAAAGGAUGGGGAUGCGUUCCAUUAGGUUGUUGGUGAGGUAACGGCUCACCAAGCCUUCGAUGGAUAGGGGUUCUGAGAGGAAGGCCCCCCACAUUGGAACUGAGACACGGUCCAA